Molecule: ribosomal RNA, 178 nt
Filed under: uncultured bacterium
Lineage: Bacteria
Description: partial 16S ribosomal RNA
Rfam family: Bacterial small subunit ribosomal RNA
Source: RNAcentral
GAAGCUGGAAUUGCUAGUAAUGGCAGGUCAGCAUACUGCCGUGAAUACGUUCCCGGGCCUUGUACACACCGCCCGUCACACCAUGAGAGUUGGGAGUACCCGAAGCCUGUGAGCUAACUUAUAGAGGCAGCAGUCGAAGGUAGAAUCAAUGAUUGGGGUGAAGUCGUAACAAGGUAGC